CCAACUGCAUCUAACUACAGCACUUUCCUCCGCCUACACAUGUACGCAGAUGGAACUUUUGUGUCAGAAAAGGAUGCCAACCUUGAUGUAAAUGUUUAAGUUUGAACAAAUAUUAGUAAUACAUAGUAAAAUGUAUUUAUUUUAUAAUAAUUGUGUAUUGUUAUGUAUGAAUUAGGCGGAGAUUCAUCGUGUUGCUGCUGAGACAGGACGAGAGGACCGACUCGAUGAGGUCUACUUGGAGCUCGUACGUCCCGGUAGGUCACGACUGUACGGCACUGGAAGUGCCGGUGUGAGCCAGUUCAGUAGGGGAUCUACCAACAGUACAUGCUCUUCCCAGAUGUCUCAGCGGAUGUAUGAGACUCGGAUCUCCACACUGGAGGAGCGUCUCCAAAAGGCUGAGGAGGAUAGGGCG
This 412-nucleotide long non-coding RNA is filed under the name Salvia miltiorrhiza (redroot sage). RNAcentral's name for it is "long non-coding RNA (SMIL_LNC007016)". Lineage: Eukaryota; Viridiplantae; Streptophyta; Magnoliopsida; Lamiales; Lamiaceae. The record is from RNAcentral.